Molecule: ribosomal RNA, 163 nt
Filed under: Amaranthus induratus
Lineage: Eukaryota; Viridiplantae; Streptophyta; Magnoliopsida; Caryophyllales; Amaranthaceae
Description: 5.8S ribosomal RNA
Rfam family: 5.8S ribosomal RNA
About the family: 5.8S ribosomal RNA (5.8S rRNA) is a component of the large subunit of the eukaryotic ribosome. It is transcribed by RNA polymerase I as part of the 45S precursor that also contains 18S and 28S rRNA. Functionally, it is thought that 5.8S rRNA may be involved in ribosome translocation.
Source: RNAcentral
UAAACGACUCUCGGCAACGGAUAUCUUGGCUCUCGCAUCGAUGAAGAACGUAGCGAAAUGCGAUACUUGGUGUGAAUUGCAGAAUCCCGUGAACCAUCGAGUUUUUGAACGCAAGUUGCGCCCGAANCCUUUNGGCUAGGGCACGUCUGCCUGGGCGUCACGC